GACGAACGCUGGCGGCGUGCUUAACACAUGCCAGUCGAACGGAAAGGCCCUGCUUUUGUGGGGUGCUCGAGUGGCGAACGGGUGAGUAACACGUGAGUAACCUGCCCUUGACUUUGGGAUAACUUCAGGAAAUUGGGGCUAAUACCGGAUAGGAGCUCCUGCUGCAUGGUGGGGGUUGGAAAGUUUCGGCGGUUGGGGAUGGACUCGCGGCUUAUCAGCUUGUUGGUGGGGUAGUGGCUUACCAAGGCUUUGACGGGUAGCCGGCCUGAGAGGGUGACCGGCCACAUUGGGACUGAGAUACGGCCCAGACUCCUACGGGAGGCAGCAGUGGGGAAUAUUGCACAAUGGGCGGAAGCCUGAUGCAGCAACGCCGCGUGCGGGAUGACGGCCUUCGGGUUGUAAACCGCUUUCGCCUGUGACGAAGCGUGAGUGACGGUAAUGGGUAAAGAAGCACCGGCUAACUACGUG
RNAcentral lists this ribosomal RNA (468 nucleotides) under uncultured bacterium. RNAcentral describes it as "partial 16S ribosomal RNA". It matches the Rfam family "Bacterial small subunit ribosomal RNA", at positions 28 to 507 of the family's 1533-position model. The record is from RNAcentral.